This 85-nucleotide transfer RNA is filed under the name Verrucomicrobiales bacterium. RNAcentral describes it as "tRNA-Ser". It matches the Rfam family "tRNA". Rfam says of the family: Transfer RNA (tRNA) molecules are approximately 80 nucleotides in length. Their secondary structure includes four short double-helical elements and three loops (D, anti-codon, and T loops). Lineage: Bacteria; Pseudomonadati; Verrucomicrobiota; Verrucomicrobiia; Verrucomicrobiales. The record is from RNAcentral.
GGACAGGUGGCUGAGCGGUUAAAGGCACUCGACUCGAAAUCGAGAGACGGUAACACGUCCGUGGGUUCGAAUCCCACCCUGUCCG